Molecule: ribosomal RNA, 207 nt
Filed under: uncultured bacterium
Lineage: Bacteria
Description: partial 16S ribosomal RNA
Rfam family: Bacterial small subunit ribosomal RNA
Source: RNAcentral
CGCGUAGGCGGACUUUCAAGUCGGAUGUGAAAACUGUCGGCUCAACCGGCAGCCUGCAUUCGAUACUGUUGGUCUUGAGUACAGGAGAGGAAAGUGGAAUUCCAGGUGUAGCGGUGAAAUGCGUAGAUAUCUGGAAGAACACCAGUAGCGAAGGCGGCUUUCUGGACUGAUACUGACGCUAAAGCGCGAAGGCUUGGGGAGCAAACA